GUCAACAAACAAUGAUAAAAUUUCAGUGCACUCUCUUGCAACACGAUCAUGUCACCUGCCAAACCACGAGUGCAAGUUCUGUGUCAAACAAACAAUUGGUGAGAGUUUGCCAAGGCAGCAGGGCUCAAAGAGUUUCGGAUAUGUGUCUUCGCCUUUGAGAUUGAAAGGGGGGAACCAGCGCUCACUGUCCAUAGGCUUUAAUAAGGGUAAGGUAUAAGAUUGUAAGUGCAAUGUCUAUACAUAGAUGAUGAUAUACCAUAUAUCUCAUAAGUUGUUUCUAUCAGGAUCGUGCGAAGUGGCACCUACGAAGUUUAUCGACAAGGAAAUUGAAUGUAGCCACCUAUUAGUAUGUUGAGCAGCUAUGGCUCGAUGGUUGUCUCUCUCCUUUAUUAUGCUCCUGUUCUUAUUACUUCCUCUCCAAUUAUCGCGCUUUUGGUAUCGAACUUCAUGUCGAGUGGCUGCACUUUUUGUUUCAAACUUCAAGUCGAGUGGCUAUCUUUUUGUGGUCUUAUGAACAGACUGAAAUCAAUUCUACCUUAUAAUCUCAUACCAAUAUUGACCAAUGUUAUGCCUCUCUCCUGCCACAAUUGAAUGUUUCUUCUUCAAUUUAUUGUUAUCCUG
Molecule: long non-coding RNA, 621 nt
Filed under: Triticum aestivum (bread wheat)
Lineage: Eukaryota; Viridiplantae; Streptophyta; Magnoliopsida; Poales; Poaceae
Description: long non-coding RNA (TAES_LNC013926)
Source: RNAcentral